AUAAAGUUGAAAUUUUAUACCAUGGCUUUUUCCAUUCAUCGGUCAUUUUUUUAUUUUAUUUUGUGCAUUGCUUUGAUUUUUCCUUCAGGUAACAAAAAAAAUGCCGUGGAGUUUCAUUUUUGAUACAAAAUAUAUUAUCAUCUCUAACAUGAAAAUAAUAUGAUCUGUUCUGCAGGAUUUGUAACUGGGGAAAAUGAAGGAUACAGAUGCAUAAGGUACUGCGACGAUGAAAGUAACUGUAGUAAAUAUUGUGGUUUUGAUGGCUAUCAAAAAGGUGGCAAGUGUAUGACGCUCACUCCAGGAAUGCAAUAUUGGUGUUGUUGUUAUACGUAGACAUCAAAGAAUGUUUGAACUCCGAUAGAGUUUUUGAGUUUGUGGGAAUAUUGUGUAAGAUUAUGAAAUCAUUUAAAUUUGUUGAUGAUUUUAUAUAAAUAAUAAUAAUAAUAAGAGAUUGGAUGUA
RNAcentral lists this long non-coding RNA (460 nucleotides) under Lathyrus oleraceus (garden pea). RNAcentral's name for it is "Pisum sativum (pea) long non-coding RNA (PSAT_LNC011003)". The record is from RNAcentral. Lineage: Eukaryota; Viridiplantae; Streptophyta; Magnoliopsida; Fabales; Fabaceae.